AGUGAACGCUGGCGGUAGGCCUAACACAUGCAAGUCGAACGGCAGCACAGUAAGAGCUUGCUCUUACGGGUGGCGAGUGGCGGACGGGUGAGGAAUACAUCGGAAUCUACUUUUUCGUGGGGGAUAACGUAGGGAAACUUACGCUAAUACCGCAUACGACCUACGGUUGAAAGCAUUGGAUCUUCUGACCUUGCGCGAUUGAAUGAGCCGAUGUCGGAUUAGCUAGUUGGCGGGGUAAUGGCCCACCAAGGCGACGAUCCGUAGCUGGUCUGAGAGGAUGAUAAGCCACACUGGAACUGAGACACGGUCCAGACUACUACGGGAGGCAGCAGUGGGGAAUAUUGGACAAUGGGCGCAAGCCUGAUCCAGCCAUACCGAGUGGGUGAAGAAGGCGUUCGGGUUGUAAAGCCGUUUUGUUGGGAAAGAAAAGCAGCAGGUUAAUACCCCGCUGUUCUGACGGUACCGAAAGAAUAAGCACCGGCUAACUUCGUG
RNAcentral lists this ribosomal RNA (492 nucleotides) under uncultured bacterium. RNAcentral describes it as "partial 16S ribosomal RNA". It matches the Rfam family "Bacterial small subunit ribosomal RNA", at positions 29 to 507 of the family's 1533-position model. The record is from RNAcentral.